CGCGAGACCUGUGCCAAGGGUUUCAUUUCUGGUAUCGCGCGGCUGGCAAGCCGUGGCGCGGGCAUUAUGGCCGACUUUUCGGAGAGGUCAGUGCAGGUGGCCGUCGUCGUGUCCUUCCUGGCGGGUUUUGCAGCCGGCUGGCAGGCCAACAGAAUGCGGAGGAAGUUUCUGGACUGGCGGAAGAAGAGGCUGCAAGACAAACUGAGUGAGACGCAGAAGAAAAUCGACUUGGCCUGAACCACGGGUUCGUCAUCAAGGAACCGGGCACAAUAUUUGGUGUAAGACCGUGCGCUGCUCUCAGAGGAUGGCUGCCAGAUGUUCUACGUUGGCCACCGUCGAAGGAAGAAAAACAGGAAUGUCCGGCUGUCAUUCCUGGAUUCUUGACUACUGUCCAAACUGAAAAACACGCAGAACACGAAUGUAUCUUGUCUCAUUUUUCUCGGUGAAAUAAAUGCUCUGUGUUUUCUAUGAUUCACAGCACUGAAUAUGAAUAACAAUGCUGAGGGAUGUGUAAAUAAUACACAUUCAUUAACACAAAAAAAA
This is a long non-coding RNA of Hippocampus comes (tiger tail seahorse), 543 nucleotides long. RefSeq lists it as uncharacterized. The record is from RefSeq and is a predicted model, not a curated record. The transcript has 2 exons. NCBI's taxonomy places the organism in Eukaryota, Metazoa, Chordata, Actinopteri, Syngnathiformes, Syngnathidae.